This 343-nucleotide unclassified non-coding RNA is filed under the name Hevea brasiliensis (rubber tree). The record is from RNAcentral. Lineage: Eukaryota; Viridiplantae; Streptophyta; Magnoliopsida; Malpighiales; Euphorbiaceae.
GGUGGCUCAAUGCUGGAAGAUUACUCAUGGGAAUUGGAGCUGGACUUCAUUGCUAUGUGGCACCAAUAUAUGUAGCAGAAAUAACACCUAAGAAUAUCCGAGGUGGAUCUACAGCUGCUGUCACGGUAAAAUAAAAUAAAGCAUAGCUGGGUGUUACUGAAUUCGAACCUUUUUAUGUGGUGAAAUAUAUUGCUGAAUUUGCAGUUUACUGUGUCUUGUGCCUUUUCCGUAAUGUUCUUUACUGGGAACUUCUUCACUUGGCGCAAGUUGGCUGUAAUUGGAUCUAUUCCUUGCUUCAUUCAUGUGGUCUGCAUUUUCUUCAUUCCAGAAUCCCCAAGGUGGC